Molecule: ribosomal RNA, 253 nt
Filed under: uncultured bacterium
Lineage: Bacteria
Description: partial 16S ribosomal RNA
Rfam family: Bacterial small subunit ribosomal RNA
Source: RNAcentral
UACGUAGGGGGCAAGCGUUGUCCGGAAUUACUGGGCGUAAAGAGCAUGUAGGCGGGUAUUUAAGUCAGGAGUGAAAACUAUGGGCUCAACCCAUAGCCUGCUCUUGAAACUGGAUACCUUGAGGGUAUGAGAGGAAAGCGGAAUUCCCAGUGUAGCGGUGAAAUGCGUAGAUAUUGGGAGGAACACCAGUGGCGAAGGCGGCGCACUGGACCAUAACUGACGCUGAGGCGCGAAAGCUAGGGGAGCAAACAGG